CAUAAACCCGGGACAACCCUUGGAAACGAGGGCUAAUACCGGAUAAUCUUUAGGUCUGGCAUCAGAUCUUAAGAAAAGGUGGCCUCUGAAGAUGCUACCGAUUAUGGAUGGACCCGCGUCUGAUUAGCUAGUUGGUGGGGUAAAGGCCUACCAAGGCGACGAUCAGUAGCCGGCCUGAGAGGGUGAACGGCCACACUGGGACUGAGACACGGCCCAGACUCCUACGGGAGGCAGCAGUGGGGAAUCUUCCGCAAUGGACGAAAGUCUGACGGAGCAACGCCGCGUGUAUGAUGAAGGUCUUCGGAUUGUAAAGUACUGUCUUUGGGGAAGAAUGACGGAUUUGAAAAUAUUGAGUCCGUAUGACGGUACCCAAGGAGGAAGCCCCGGCUAACUACGUGCCAGCAGCCGCGGUAAUACGUA
RNAcentral lists this ribosomal RNA (420 nucleotides) under uncultured bacterium. RNAcentral describes it as "bacterial SSU rRNA". It matches the Rfam family "Bacterial small subunit ribosomal RNA", at positions 131 to 529 of the family's 1533-position model. The record is from RNAcentral.